This 433-nucleotide ribosomal RNA is filed under the name uncultured Lachnospiraceae bacterium. RNAcentral describes it as "bacterial SSU rRNA". It matches the Rfam family "Bacterial small subunit ribosomal RNA", at positions 341 to 792 of the family's 1533-position model. The record is from RNAcentral. Lineage: Bacteria; Bacillati; Bacillota; Clostridia; Lachnospirales; Lachnospiraceae.
ACGGGAGGCAGCAGUGGGGAAUAUUGCACAAUGGGGGAAACCCUGAUGCAGCGACGCCGCGUGAAGGAAGAAGUAUCUCGGUAUGUAAACUUCUAUCAGCAGGGAAGAUAGUGACGGUACCUGACUAAGAAGCCCCGGCUAACUACGUGCCAGCAGCCGCGGUAAUACGUAGGGGGCAAGCGUUAUCCGGAUUUACUGGGUGUAAGGGAGCGUAGACGGCAAGGUAAGUCUGAAGUGAAAUGCCGGGGCUCAACCCCGGAACUGCUUUGGAAACUAUCUCGCUCGAGUACCGGAGGGGUAAGCGGAAUUCCUAGUGUAGCGGUGAAAUGCGUAGAUAUUAGGAGGAACACCAGUGGCGAAGGCGGCUUACUGGACGGUAACUGACGUUGAGGCUCGAAAGCGUGGGGAGCAAACAGGAUUAGAUACCCUGGUA